CCUACGGGUGGCAGCAGUAGGGAAUAUUGCUCAAUGGGGGAAACCCUGAAGCAGCAACGCCGCGUGGAGGAUGAAGGUUUUCGGAUUGUAAACUCCUUUUGUUAGAGAAGAUAAUGACGGUAUCUAACGAAUAACCACCGGCUAACUCCGUGCCAGCAGCCGCGGUAAUACGGAGGGUGCAAGCGUUACUCGGAAUCACUGGGCGUAAAGGGCGCGUAGGCGGGAUAGCAAGUCAGAUGUGAAAUCCUAUGGCUUAACCAUAGAACUGCAUUUGAAACUGUUAGUCUAGAGUAUGGGAGAGGUAGGUGGAAUUCUUGGUGUAGGGGUAAAAUCCGUAGAGAUAAAGAGGAAUACUCAUUGCGAAGGCGACCUGCUAGAACAUAACUGACGCUGAUGCGCGAAAGCGUGGGGAGCAAACAGGAUUAGAUACCCGGGUAGUC
RNAcentral lists this ribosomal RNA (440 nucleotides) under uncultured bacterium. Its description in RNAcentral is "partial 16S ribosomal RNA". It matches the Rfam family "Bacterial small subunit ribosomal RNA", at positions 338 to 795 of the family's 1533-position model. The record is from RNAcentral.